UGCUGACUUUUACAGACACAUCUUCGAACUAUUAAGCUAAGUAAUAUCCAAACUAUUUUUUAUUGUUGUGGAAGCAUGUGGUGGAUGCUGUGGUAUGCCUUCUGCGUUGCCCCUUCAGGUCUGAAGCGUGCAUUUCCACACCUGCGAGAAGUAUUGGCUGUAGACAUUUCAUGGCUGAGUACCACUUUGGAGAUUGCUCUAGAAUAAAGGGAGCUGCUUUGCUCAAGGUUAUACCCUCUUACUGGAGUUAGCUCACAUCAAAGAACUGGUCUAUGCAGAUGUACGAAGACCUGGCCUUUUUGUCUCAAUUCUGGAAAACUUGGAAGAGCCAUUCUAGCUCCUGGGCUCUUGAAGGACUGGCUAAGACCUGUUAGAAUUGCACACUGACGUUCAACUUCCCCCUCUGUCCAAUUCUUAUUUCUCAUUCUUUUAUAAGUAUUGUUCCAUCUUAGAAUCUGUUUCCUAGGGAACCCAAUUUAAACACCAGUUAGAAUGUCUGAGGAAGCAGAAUCUAAAAUGCAACUUUGAAGCUGGAUCCCUUGCUGGCUGCAGGGAAAUGAGAACCCUGCCACUGGUAUUAGGUGGGGAAAUGAUAGCCCCUAGCAUGCUAUAGCAGUGCAGUUGUUAGAACUUUUACAAGUUCUGAGCUGGAAUAGGACACGAGUGGAAGAAUCAUAUCUUCGCAUCUGAAAGAAGGCAACAGCAUUGAGCAACAAUCUGGGACUCUAUUUGAUAUCUUCCCUUGAGAAGUGUUAAAUGUUGCCAUAAUCUUGACAGUUCAAAAGUUAGUCAUGUGGUUGAUAUUUUACCAAUGAGAUGAAUGUGACUGUAAUAUGGGCAAAUCCCACCUACCAUAAAAGCUGGCAAUACUUGCCUAAUAUUGAAGGAAGGAGACAUUUAGAGCAAGCCAGGAAGCUGGAACACCGGAUCAGGAACAGACACUUCUCCGCAAGUUUAGAGUUUGGUAUUUCUCAAGUCCUGGCCUGAGGGAUGUUUACUCUCAGGUUAUACAAAGUCCCAGCUUGGGUUCUGGAAAAAUUGAACUGACAACUUUGCCUGAAAGAAGUUUCUUGCUAACUCCUAGGUACAUCUUGAUUUUAUUAGACCAUGGCUAUUAUUGUGAGGUUUAUUCAGAGCAAUGAAGAUGUCACUCACCGUGUCAAAUUCAUAGGUAUGGUGGCCUUUAUUACCUGGCAACAUGCAUUUUGUUAUACAUCAAAUCCAUGUAGGGCCAUAUUAUCUGGAUCUCAGAUGUUACUGAGAAAUGUUGUAAGGUAAAUAGAUUUUUUGGGGAAUAUCUUGGACUUAGCACACUUUACUUAAUAGAAAUAUAUUUAUUGUCUUCACUUUUAAGUUACUCUGCCACUUUGCCAUUCAACCUCUAUUGGCUCUUUAUUAACUUCAAUUAGAUUUUUCCUUCUCUUUUCCUUUAGAGAUAAAAUUAAAUAAAAAUAAAAACUUCUAAAGCAAACUCUAUUCCUUUAUAAAUACUGUCUAAACGUGCCAGUGGUGUGUCCAAUUUUAGACACAAGAGCUUAAAGUUGAAUGCAAAUUUUGAUUUUCUUUAUAAAUGAGAUGAUGAAAAUCUAUUGUGAAAAGGUUAUGAGAAAAAAGCUUAUCUUGUAAUUGCAGCCAAGAUCCAAGCCAUUAUUUAAGACGUGAAGCAUUUGGCAACAAAGAGAUUGUUGUCAUUAAAAAGGAAGCCCAACGCAUUAUUCUUGGGCUGAGAAAAAAUAAUUUAGCUGUCAUUGUUAUUUAAGGAGUAACACCGGAAGAUGGGAGACAUUAAAAUAAGCAGCUUUACCUCAAGAAGUGUAAUAUCUUCUUUUCCCUCUAAGAUGCAGAGGUAGUUAAUAAACAUUUGAUGAUUGAUUUAAACAUAUUAGAGAGAGAUUCACUUGUUAGUAUUUAUCAUCUAGCUAAAUUGUAUUUUUUUAAUGUAUACAACUGAGAUGAAGCCAAUAGAACUUUACCACAGUGGUUGUAAAGAGAUAAGAAAUUAUUAUUUCUCAUUAUACCAUCAGCAGACUGAGGUCUGUAACUUGAUACUUAUGCAAAAGAUUACUAAAUUGGUAGCUAUUCUUAUAAAAUAUUCACUUUAGGAAAGAAGGUGAGAAUGAGGCCACUGACGUCAUCUUGGCUUGGUUUACUUAAGCCUGGGCAAAGAGGGAAAAGGGCACUGGAGAUUU
This 2189-nucleotide long non-coding RNA is filed under the name Homo sapiens (human). RNAcentral's name for it is "HSALNT0313137". The record is from RNAcentral. Lineage: Eukaryota; Metazoa; Chordata; Mammalia; Primates; Hominidae.